Long non-coding RNA from Coccinella septempunctata (seven-spotted ladybird), 513 nucleotides. RefSeq lists it as uncharacterized. Lineage: Eukaryota; Metazoa; Arthropoda; Insecta; Coleoptera; Coccinellidae. The transcript has 3 exons. The record is from RefSeq and is a predicted model, not a curated record.
UUACUCAGUUUCAAAGAUUAUAGAGUCUAUAAUCUUUGCUCAGUUUAAAUUAGUUUUUGGGAUGACUUCUGUUGUGUUCAAUUGGAAACGAGAUCUAAAAGUGUUCAGAAUGCUAAAACUCACGAUUAAUAUUCGCUUGAAACUUGAAAAAACUCAAAUGAAUCGGGGAAUCCCACCUUUAAGUAUCUAGAUUUUCGGUUUCUGAGAAAUAUGGAUCUAGUGAAGGGACAGAUUACCUUUACCUGGGCACCCGAAGAAAUUAAAAGGGUUGAAACUGUCUGAAAAGACCUCUUUCGAUUUUAACUGUCCUCUGAGUUUUUGUGUUUCUCAAAUCAUCGUUGUCCCCAUCAACAUCAGUUUGCAGUCACGCAAAAUUGGUAAAUUUCAGAAUAUUGUUACAACGAUGGUUGUAACAUGUUGCUAAAGGAUGCUCCAAUGAGCAAAACAAAAAUGAGACAAAGAGUUUCCACAGGUUUCCUUUUAAACGCCCAGAUAUUUUGGAACUUUGGAUUA